This 253-nucleotide ribosomal RNA is filed under the name uncultured bacterium. RNAcentral describes it as "partial 16S ribosomal RNA". It matches the Rfam family "Bacterial small subunit ribosomal RNA", at positions 524 to 776 of the family's 1533-position model. The record is from RNAcentral.
UACGAAGGGGGCUAGCGUUGCUCGGAAUCACUGGGCGUAAAGGGUGCGUAGGCGGGUCUUUAAGUCAGGGGUGAAAUCCUGGAGCUCAACUCCAGAACUGCUUUUGAUACUGAAGAUCUUGAGUCCGGGAGAGGUGAGUGGAACUGCGAGUGUAGAGGUGAAAUUCGUAGAUAUUCGCAAGAACACCAGUGGCGAAGGCGGCUCACUGGCCCGGUACUGACGCUGAGGUGCGAAAGCGUGGGGAGCAAACAGG